This 5412-nucleotide ribosomal RNA is filed under the name Triticum aestivum (bread wheat). Its description in RNAcentral is "partial small subunit ribosomal RNA". The record is from RNAcentral. Lineage: Eukaryota; Viridiplantae; Streptophyta; Magnoliopsida; Poales; Poaceae.
AUGGCCAAUACCCGGUCAGUAGGGGCGAACAAUGAGGGAGCAGGGGACACCAAAGCCGGCGCCGCCACCAAUGCGGAAGACCCCAAGUCUGCAACGACCCCCAACUCGUCUGCCAGUGGAAGGGAGUCCAGAAGCUUGUCCACGCGUGAAACAAGCUAUGAGCAGAGGCCAAACCUCAGGAGGUUGAGCCGAGAAACAACAGGAAAGGAUCCCAUUGUGAUGACCACCACCAGUUCUGCCGCUACACCGGUUCCGCAGACAUCUAUGAGGGGCAGGAGCAACCCCAGCACACCUGAUUCCCCGAAAUCAUCGGCAAAGAAGCUAAAGGGGUCGACCAGGAAGGCCAGUACCCCAAAAAUGUCCGGCGGAGUAAAGAAAAGUACCAUUUCAGCUUCUGCUGCUUCAAAUGAUUCAACUGGAGUUCCUCCCAGUCCAGUGGCUGCUCUUGGCAAAACCGUAAAAGGAAAAAUUGACGAACGUAACUCAACCAAGAAUACGCAUGAUGCUUCCGAGAGUUGUACCAGGCCAUUGAAGCAGCAGAAAAGGCCAACCGUGGAAGACAAUCGCUCUGUUUUGAGGUAUGAAGAAAGUGGCGCACAUGAAGAAGAUAACCAGGCACAUUUAAGUCAGGUCGUCAAUGAAUUUUCUGAAGGCUAUACUUCUGGUCGGUGUGAAGCUCCCGAGGUGAUACUGGAGACAGUUCUGUCGAAAACUGAUGUUGAAAAAUCUGCUCCCAUUUCAGAGGCACAUAUGACUGCUGAUCAGCGCUCACAAAAUAUUGUGGCUGAAAGCAGUCCUGCAAUGGAUGCUAGAGAGCCAACUGAUAACUGUUCAGAACUCACACUUCAUGUUGAAAUGGCCCGGAAAGCGGACUCAUCAAAAUUUGUGGAGUAUUGGGUUCCUGCUCGCCUUUCACGAGUGCAACUAGAAAUGUACUGUUAUACCCUACUUUCAAAUUCACCAGCGCUUCAAUCACAUCCAAAAGCUGACAGUGUUGGUGCUCUUCGCAACAUUCUUGUAUCCCUCCGGAAGUGCUGCGACCACCCUUAUCUAGUAGAUGAAAUGCUGCAAGCCUCACUUCCCAAGGGCCACCCAGUAAGUGAUAUCGUAGAUAUUGGAGUGUGUGCAAGUGGCAAGCUACUGCUUCUUGACAAAAUGCUCCGAGAAAUCAAGGAAAAAAGGAAGAGAGUUCUUAUCCUCUCCCAGUUUUAUGACGGGGCUGGCUAUCAAAUGGGUGACAUUUUGGAUGAUUUUGUCCGUCAAAACUUUGGUUUUGAGUCAUUUGAACGGGUGAAGCAUGGUUUCAGUUUACCAAAGAAAGAGGCUGCAAUGAGUAUGUUCAAUGACACGACUAAGGGCCGGUUUAUUUUUUUGAUUGAUAGUCGUGCAUGUGUCCCAAGCAUUAAACUAUCAUCAGUUGAUGUCAUCAUCAUAUAUUGUAGUGAUUGGAAUCCCACAAAUGACUUGAGAGUCCUCCGGAAGAUCAGCAUAGAGUCACAAUCUGAAUGUGUGCCCAUUUUUCGUUUGUAUUCAUCUUGUACAGUGGAGGAAAAGACUCUUAUACUUGCAAAGCAUGAUCGUACAUUUGAUGGCAGUGUCCAGAAUAUAACGCCUAUCCUGAGCCAUUCUCUGCUUAGUUGGGGUGCAUCAUUUCUCUUCAGUAGACUGGAAGGGCUAGAAAACGAUGCAUAUUUAAGCAAGGAUUCUGAUGCUGAAAAACUGUUCAUGGAUAAAGUACUUUUGGAGUACCUAUCAAAGUUAUCCACUGAAGAUGAUCCCAGCACCAAGAUGAGCAAUGCAGCCAUAUCACAAGCUCAUCUGAGUGGACCUUUUUAUUCUAGAGAUACUGUUUUAGUAGGUGAGACGGAGGGGAUCUCUGCACCUGAUAGUGAUCUCCCAAAGUUCUGGGUAAAUUUGCUAGGUCGGAAGUCUCCUCGUUGGCAGUAUAUAACUGGGCCGGCACAAAGAAGCUGUAGAAAGAGACAAAGCAUGGAAGAAGGGAACAUUCCUGCUGAUGAUGCUGAAGCCAGUACCAAACAUAGAAAAAUUGCUGGAAUCUUGGAUUCAUCUGCAAAUGUUUUAGCUGGCAAAGACAAUGACUCAAUAUUGCCUGAAAUUAAUACGGCAUCUAGUUCUCAUCAAAUAUCAGUUGACGACACAUGGCAGGAACAAGGGGUGGAAAAUCUUCAGGACACACAAAAUAGUCUGCACAUCCAAUUGAAGCGAGAGUUCUCAAAGCUAUAUGAAUUGUUUGAACUACCGGGGAGUGUUAAAUGUGUAUGUGAGGAACUUCUUGAGUAUGCUUUGAAGAAUUACCAAGUCAGUCAGGAGCCAAAGCAUCCAUUCAACAUUGCACUGUGCUGGCAUGCUGCGUCUCUCUCAAGGCACAAGGUUAAUCAUAAAGAAUCACUGGCCCUUGCUGAAAAACACUUGAACUAUGAGUGCAGUGUAACUUUCACUGAGUUGGUUUAUAAGAAGCUAAGGAACCUAAAGAAGAAGUUUGCACGUAGAGGAGGCGGAACAGGCAAGAACAAUCAAUCAAUUUCAGUAAAGGACAUAUCACCAUACCGGCAGGAGACCUCAACUAAAUAUGGAAAUGACAAGCCAAUCCCUAAGCAGACAGCAUCUGUUGGUGGGAACGAAUCACAUCAAGAGGAUUCACAUGAUUUAGUGAUUGAGGCUAUCGUAUCAGGAGAGAAGGAACUGCUAUCUGUUCCAGAGAUUCAUGAAAAACAAGAUUUAUCAAAGGACGCACUUCUUAGUAGAAUCACAGAGACAAGAAUUAAUUUAGUUGACAUGGUUUUUUCCUUGAGAGAAAAGAAUAUCCAUGAUAAACAAGCAAACGAGGUGGCAAUGUUUGACAUGCACAGGCACAAGGGAGUGGUGAAACUGAGAGAAGCAUGCAGAAUAGUUGUGGAACAUCUUCGUAGGUCUCAAGCUGAUCCAGAGAACAGAGGUGGUCAAACAAAGCUACUAGUUGAAUGCCUCACUAUGCUAACAAACCUAAUAGUUGAAUGGUUCACUAUGCUACUAUAUGCGUUUCUGAAGCACAUGAGGUACCAGCGUGAGAAGCUUGACUUACAGCAAUCAAAGGUGUGGACUAAGGAGUUGCAGUUGAAGGAAAAGUUCCUUCACGAAGCAAAUUAUGGCCAUUUAGAUCAUACUUUUGAUCAGCAUAUCUAUUUACCAGAUUCAGACUUUGCUAUUGAGGAAUUCAGCCACUUUAACACCUGUGUUGAUACAGCUACUUUGGCAAACUGUCCGCAGUCUUUGCAUGAAACCUCAGCGAUGGAAGUUACAUUGGUUUGUAGUGUGAUUCCAUCUGAUGUUAUCAAUGCAGAAGCAGCGAGAAAUGGUUCUGUUGAAGGAAGGCUAGCAUCAGAAGAAGGUAUUGGUUUGAGAGAGAACAUGAUCAGCAAUAGUUCUGAUAUCAUCAACUCGCGAGGAGGGGCAUCUCUGGCUGUUCAACACCAAUUAAUUUCUAGUCCUGCAAUUGAUAAUUCUAUUAAUCAGGAGUCUUCAAGUGGUGACCAUAGAAGAACUGAGCAUGUUGAGCGACAGAGUGGUGUGGGUUCGCAACCAUUACCGGGAGAGACUGACCUUGCAGAAAUGGAAGUUAACAUCGACAAUGGAGGCGGUACUCAUGCAGAUCCACCUUACUUGGAACCACAGACCGUGGCUCUGGUGCCCAGCCAGGCUUCCUUGCAAAUGUCUAAGGAAGUUGAAGCUGAGGCCAAUCUUGUAAUGCAGUCAGCCCAACCAAUUGUAGCACCAGUACAACUUCUGCAAAGAGAGGCAGAACAAGUAGACCGUUCUGGUAUAACACCAGCUCAGACUUUGCAACCUGAAACGCAACCAUCAGCAUCCAGGGAAGUUUAUACCCAGACAGAUCUGAUAAUUCAGUCUGCACAACCAAGUACGCCAACUGAGCUUUCACAAAGAGAUGUAGAACAAGCAAGCCUUUCUCGUGUACCAUCAUCUCAGUGUUUGCCAUCUGCAAUGCAUCCAUCGGUUCCACCGUCCAGUAUUCUGCUUGAAAGAACUCACCCUGAUCAGUGUCAACCAUCAAGUCAUCAACCCGACGCUGCACCGGGUUCUUCAGCACAACUCUUUCCGUUGGCACCAAGCAUGUUUAAUCAUCCACCAGUUGGUGAUGAUCCACUGAAAAAUGAGUUGCACAGAUUCCGGUUAUGCAUUGACUCGCUUAAUAAAACCAACGAGCUAAAGCAAUCACAACUUAGGACCGAGUAUAGCCAAGAAAGGGAGAAGCUCAAACAAAAGUAUGAUUUUUUACUUCAAGAACAAGAUUCCUCUCAUCUUCAGCAAAUGAAGACACUAAAUAAUUUAUGUGAGAAAGUUCUCCUCAACCAGUCACUAGCUGACAAUCUUCAGAAGGAAUUCAUAUCUUCUGGAGAACAAGUUAGAGCCCACAGCCCUCCAAAUCACCAGACACCCCAGACUUCUCAGCAAGUUCCCACGAGGCCUUCAGCGGUGGCGUCGACUGCAUCACCAACUGCGUCGUCGUCAGCUGGUCGACCACCAGUGCUGAUACAUCAUGUCCACCCGUUACAGGUUGAUCAACCAUCACCAUCAUCAUCGCCAUCUUCACAAGUGGUCAGACCACAUCCGUCCAUACUAAACAACAUUGCCAGAUCAACAUCAACUAGUUUUAGUCUCGCGCCAGUUCUGCCAUCGGGAAGCUUUGGAGUACAGAGUGAACUAGCACGUGCACCUGCUCCUCAUCUUCAGCGCAUUUUGCCUCCACAGGUGCAUUCGAUGGCAUCUGCAAAUCAGCAGCAGCUUCCAACUAGGCUGGAGAGCAUGUCUGCAAGGACAUGGUCUACCCCUGUGACUCCAAUAAAUAUAAGACAAUCAUGCCCACAGGCCGCUCCCCCAGGGAACCCAUCACUGUCAAGCUUGCACCUAAGUUCACACCCCACUAUACCCGCACCCUUUGGGCCAUCAAGUUCACAUCAAAUUCGGCAGGUUCCACCACUGGCAUCAAGUUCGCAGCUAGCACACCUGCUGUCGCCAGUACCUUCGAUUCCAAAUCCAGUUCUUCCACUAACAUCACCGCGAGGUUUGACUAUGACGUCUAGCGUUUGCUCAGCUGCGUCGAAUGUGUUGCCAAGUAGUGGCGUUGGGCCUUCCGCACCAGGCUCGCCGCAGUCAGAUUCUGAUUCAGCAUCACUGGAUGAAUGGCUAACAGAAGGUCUUGGGCUGCCCAGUGAUCCCCAUGGCGUGGCGGCUCCUGAUGUGAUAUGCAUAUCUUCUGAUGAAGAGACAGAUGACCAAACCAAGCAAAAAACGGCGCUCAUUGCUGAAGAGCUCCAACAGAAGGUUGCUUGCAAGGUUUUGGUCAAAGGUGGUGCUUGCAAACAAGAACAAUUGAUGCCCAGAUCGAUUUUAUAA